GCUAGCUACAGGCUUAACACAUGCAAGUCGAGGGGCAGCAUGGUCUUAGCCUGCUAAGGCUGAUGGCGACCGGCGCACGGGUGAGUAACACGUAUCCAACCUGCCGUCUACUCUUGGCCAGCCUUCUGAAAGGAAGAUUAAUCCAGGAUGGGAUCAUGAGUUCACAUGUCCGCAUGAUUAAAGGUAUUUUCCGGUAGACGAUGGGGAUGCGUUCCAUUAGAUAGUAGGCGGGGUAACGGCCCACCUAGUCAACGAUGGAUAGGGGUUCUGAGAGGAAGGUCCCCCACAUUGGAACUGAGACACGGUCCAAACUCCUACGGGAGGCAGCAGUGAGGAAUAUUGGUCAAUGGGCGAUGGCCUGAACCAGCCAAGUAGCGUGAAGGAUGACUGCCCUAUGGGUUGUAAACUUCUUUUAUAAAGGAAUAAAGUCGGGUAUGCAUACCCGUUUGCAUGUACUUUAUGAAUAAGGAUCGGCUAACUCCGUGCCAGCAGUCGCGGUAAUACGGAGGAUCCGAGCGUUAUCCGGAUUUAUUGGGUUUAAAGGGAGCGUAGAUGGAUGUUUAAGUCAGUUGUGAAAGUUUGCGGCUCAACCGUAAAAUUGCAGUUGAUACUGGAUGUCUUGAGUGCAGUUGAGGCAGGCGGAAUUCGUGGUGUAGCGGUGAAAUGCUUAGAUAUCACGAAGAACUCCGAUUGCGAAGGCAGCCUGCUAAGCUGCAACUGACAUUGAGGCUCGAAAGUGUGGGUAU
Molecule: ribosomal RNA, 746 nt
Filed under: uncultured Bacteroidales bacterium
Lineage: Bacteria; Pseudomonadati; Bacteroidota; Bacteroidia; Bacteroidales
Description: bacterial SSU rRNA
Rfam family: Bacterial small subunit ribosomal RNA
Source: RNAcentral